AUACUGACGCUGAGGUACGAAAGCAUGGGGAGCAAACAGGAUUAGAUACCCUGGUAGUCCAUGCCGUAAACGAUGUCUACUAGCCGUUGGGGCCCUUGAGGCUUUAGUGGCGCAGCUAACGCGAUAAGUAGACCGCCUGGGGAGUACGGUCGCAAGACUAAAACUCAAAUGAAUUGACGGGGGCCCGCACAAGCGGUGGAGCAUGUGGUUUAAUUCGAUGCAACGCGAAGAACUCUUACCUGGCCUUGACAUACAGAGAACUUUCCAGAGAUGGAUUGGUGCCUUCGGG
This 289-nucleotide ribosomal RNA is filed under the name Acinetobacter radioresistens WC-A-157. Its description in RNAcentral is "partial 16S ribosomal RNA". It matches the Rfam family "Bacterial small subunit ribosomal RNA", at positions 737 to 1024 of the family's 1533-position model. The record is from RNAcentral. Lineage: Bacteria; Pseudomonadati; Pseudomonadota; Gammaproteobacteria; Moraxellales; Moraxellaceae.